Molecule: unclassified non-coding RNA, 2321 nt
Organism: Orbicella faveolata
Lineage: Eukaryota; Metazoa; Cnidaria; Anthozoa; Scleractinia; Merulinidae
Source: RefSeq, a predicted model, not a curated record
ACGACUCCGACUCCGACGCCGACUCCGUCGUUACUGAAAACCAGCCUUGUAAGGAAACAUAAAUUAUACUCUAAUAUGUUGAUUAUUUUCUUUGCAGAGUGUAGUAAACUUUGCUUGAAAGAUCUGAGCGAUGAUAUCACCGUAGAAUUGAGUCUAAGGCUACAAGCUGAUGGGGCUGCGUUACGAAAAUUCUAUCAAUUUUUCGGUUUCAAAACGAGAGGCCGGUAUCUGUCAAGAUUCCCAUUAGAAGAAUUUAAAAAAAUGUUUCCCGACACUACAGUCAGCGUGUUGAAAGAGUGUUUUGAGGUCCUGCGGUUGUACGAUCUCGUUGAGAUUCUGGAAAAAGUGAAACCACGUUCCCUCCGCCCCGCUGUUUCCCCAGAGCAAAUAGAAAAAUUGCGGAGAGCAGAUGAUCGGCCCACAAAGUAUCACAGUGAUGUAGCAGUCUUGGUUGUCAAUCACACUGUCGGCCACGAAGAGGACCUUGUUGUCAAGGAAAACGCAGAAAAGAUUGAAAAAUUUCUUAAAGAUCUGAAUUCGCGGAACGAAGUGACGAUAAUAUCAUUGGCUAGUCCACAAGAGACCCGUGAGUUUCUGAUGGAGCUAAAAGAGAGAAACCGCAGAAUAGGAUACCACCGUUUCUCAGAAGAAAGACCCAAGAGUAUACUUCAACAGAGGGCGCGUUUACAUGAGGAAUUGGAGAAAGUAACACAGACGGAGAUAGGGCGUAAACAAAGACAGAGACUGCAACGGCUACUGCAGUUUAGAGGUGAAGUGGUAAACGCUGAAAAAGCGGCAAAAAGGGAUAUGGAAAAGCUGCAAGAGCUAGAGAAGGAGAAUACCAAAGCUAUAUCAACGGCUAUGGACAAAUGGAUUCACAAUCAAGAGAAAUUCACCUGUGUUGCGGUAUUUACAAUCAGUGAAGACGAGUUGUACACUGGAGCAGUUUUGGAAGAAUGUAUUGUUGAGAAGUUGGCAUUAAUUCCAGAUCAUGCCAAACUCGUGGUUAGCCCUCGCGCCACAUGGAAAAGCAGUGUUGAAGUUCCUGAAACUCUUCAUGUAGUGUAUCGUGAUCGCGGAGUAGUACCAGUCAUCACUCGGAUGAUUGAGAUUUUCAACAAGCGUUGGCAAACAUUGGAUCUUAUUUCCAUGAUGCAAGAAUUAAAAAGAUCUGAAGCCACAGCUUAUCGGUCAAAGAUUUUCAGAGUCAAGGAUUUUCAGAGUAGGUUUUAUGGGGGUCCUUGCAUGUCUAUCAAGGGCGAUAGUUUGUCUAGCCUUCCGACAUUUCAGAAAAAAGAAGAGGAGCAUUCCUCUUAAAUGACAUGUACCGUGUGUUUAGCGCUUGGUUACCGACUGAUUCUAAGCUAGCAAGUUCUGCAAUUGUUUACAGGUUUAGUCACUGCCAGCGCCCUCUUUCUUAUUUUUCGUCAGUAAUUUACGCAAACCCUACACGUUUCCACAGUACAGGCUAUCAAAGCGUUUUUUAGCUCCCGGUGAACCUUCACUUUACAAAGUUAGUCGUCUAAUUUUCAGUAAUCUAAAUACAGCGGAAUUCAGAACGGUUUUCAAUUGAGUCUUAUUCAGAAUUUUUUUUUAUUAAUUCUGUUUGCCUCACUUCGCCCUGUGAUUGGCUUACAAAAUUCGUUUUUACUGGACCGGACAUGAGAAAGGUCAAAGCCGAUUUUGGAUAUAUUAGAUUUCCCGCGUUUUCAUUGGCGUUACUUGUAUUUGAUUCUUGCUAUCAGUGGUUCAUUGCAUUGUUUGUGCUGAUUGCACUUAGCAUCGUUUAUUGGAUUCGUUUUGUUGUUUGACUCUCAAUUGAAAACCGCUCUUAGUAUACUGGUUUAGUUGUUAUGAGCGGAUUACUAUAUAUUUAGUGCUCACUGUCAUGUUGUUAGACUCAGUCAAACAAGCUGCAUUCUGUGACGUGUACUUUUGCUUUCGUAACACGCACAAUGAGUGAAUUAUAGUUAAGCCUAUCCUUUGUGAGAGUCUAUGAUAAAUAAAUUAGGUUUUUUCGAACUCCGUGCGCGUUUACUUUGUUAGGCUUGAAAACUUGGAAAAAGAAAUCCAGGUCAUUUACGGCCAUGUUUACCGGUUUGUCACUUGACCGGCUGACUGGACCUCUUAUAGUGACAUGCCUCGCGGUUAGGUCUUUCCCGUUUUUUGUUGCCGUCCCCGCAAAUUUUUAAUUUUUCGGUCUUUCCAAGUCAGGGUAGAAGCCAACAAUGCCAUUGAUAUGUUCUAGAUCAUUUUUAGUCUGCUAUUUCUUACCUGUCUUACGUUCAGUUAAAUCCUCUGAGCACGCGCUUUUCUUAGUG